This 142-nucleotide small nuclear RNA is filed under the name Camelus dromedarius (Arabian camel). RNAcentral's name for it is "U4 spliceosomal RNA (ENSCDRG00005012354.1)". The stretch from base 1 to 120 matches the Rfam family "U4 spliceosomal RNA". Rfam says of the family: U4 small nuclear RNA (U4 snRNA) is a component of the major U2-dependent spliceosome. The structure of U4 snRNA from yeast and human has been reported. The record is from RNAcentral. Lineage: Eukaryota; Metazoa; Chordata; Mammalia; Artiodactyla; Camelidae.
AGCUUUGAACAGUGGCAGUAUCAUAGCCAAUGAGGUUUAUCUGAGGCAUGAUUAUUGCUAAUUGAAAAAAAAAGCCAAUUAGAUCCUCAAAUUUACUCAAUUGAAUUGUGUUCUUUAACGGGUUGCUGGCACUGUUUCCAGU